RNAcentral lists this ribosomal RNA (1136 nucleotides) under Alteromonas macleodii. Its description in RNAcentral is "bacterial SSU rRNA". It matches the Rfam family "Bacterial small subunit ribosomal RNA", at positions 34 to 1162 of the family's 1533-position model. The record is from RNAcentral. Lineage: Bacteria; Pseudomonadati; Pseudomonadota; Gammaproteobacteria; Alteromonadales; Alteromonadaceae.
CGCAUGGCUGCGGUCUCCCGUGCGCGUCGGACGGUAACAUUUCUAGCUUGCUAGAAGAUGACGAGUGGCGGACGGGUGAGUAAUGCUUGGGAACUUGCCUUUGCGAGGGGGAUAACAGUUGGAAACGACUGCUAAUACCGCAUAAUGUUUUCGAACCAAACGGGGCUUCGGCUCCGGCGCAAAGAGAGGCCCAAGUGAGAUUAGCUAGUUGGUGAGGUAACGGCUUACCAAGGCGACGAUCUCUAGCUGUUCUGAGAGGAAGAUCAGCCACACUGGGACUGAGACACGGCCCAGACUCCUACGGGAGGCAGCAGUGGGGAAUAUUGCACAAUGGGGGAAACCCUGAUGCAGCCAUGCCGCGUGUGUGAAGAAGGCCUUCGGGUUGUAAAGCACUUUCAGUUGUGAGGAAAAGUUAGUAGUUAAUACCUGCUAGCCGUGACGUUAACAACAGAAGAAGCACCGGCUAACUCCGUGCCAGCAGCCGCGGUAAUACGGAGGGUGCGAGCGUUAAUCGGAAUUACUGGGCGUAAAGCGCACGCAGGCGGUUUGUUAAGCUAGAUGUGAAAGCCCCGGGCUCAACCUGGGAUGGUCAUUUAGAACUGGCAGACUAGAGUCUUGGAGAGGGGAGUGGAAUUCCAGGUGUAGCGGUGAAAUGCGUAGAUAUCUGGAGGAACAUCAGUGGCGAAGGCGACUCCCUGGCCAAAGACUGACGCUCAUGUGCGAAAGUGUGGGUAGCGAACAGGAUUAGAUACCCUGGUAGUCCACACCGUAAACGCUGUCUACUAGCUGUGUGUGCCUUUAAGGCGUGCGUAGCGAAGCUAACGCGAUAAGUAGACCGCCUGGGGAGUACGGCCGCAAGGUUAAAACUCAAAUGAAUUUGACGGGGGCCCGCACAAGCGGUGGAGCCAUGGUGGUUUAAUUCGAUGCAACGCGAAGAACCUUACCUACACUUGACAUGCUGAGAAGUUACUAGAGAAUAGUUUCGUGCCUUCGGGAACUCAGACACAGUGCUGCAUGGCUGUCGUCAGCUCGUGUCGUGGGAGAUAGUGUUGGGGUUAAGUCCCGCAACGAGCGCAACCCUUGUCCUUAGUUGCCAGCAUUAAGUUGGGCACUCUAAGGAGACUGCCGGUGACAAA